GCCGGGUGUGGUGACUCAUGCCUGUAAUCCUAGUGACUCAAGAGGCUGAGACAGGAAGAGCACAAGUUUGAGGCCAACUUCAGCAACUUAGUGAGACCCUGUCUCAA
RNAcentral lists this small RNA (107 nucleotides) under Marmota monax (woodchuck). Lineage: Eukaryota; Metazoa; Chordata; Mammalia; Rodentia; Sciuridae. The record is from RNAcentral.